GCCUAACACAUGCAAGUCGAGCGGAAACGAGUUAUCUGAACCUUCGGGGAACGAUAACGGCGUCGAGCGGCGGACGGGUGAGUAAUGCCUAGGAAAUUGCCCUGAUGUGGGGGAUAACCAUUGGAAACGAUGGCUAAUACCGCAUAAUGCCUACGGGCCAAAGAGGGGGACCUUCGGGCCUCUCGCGUCAGGAUAUGCCUAGGUGGGAUUAGCUAGUUGGUGAGGUAAUGGCUCACCAAGGCGACGAUCCCUAGCUGGUCUGAGAGGAUGAUCAGCCACACUGGAACUGAGACACGGUCCAGACUCCUACGGGAGGCAGCAGUGGGGAAUAUUGCACAAUGGGCGCAAGCCUGAUGCAGCCAUGCCGCGUGUGUGAAGAAGGCCUUCGGGUUGUAAAGCACUUUCAGUCGUGAGGAAGGUAGUGUAGUNAAUAGCUGCAUUAUUUGACGUUAGCGACAGAAGAAGCACCG
This 470-nucleotide ribosomal RNA is filed under the name uncultured Gammaproteobacteria bacterium. RNAcentral's name for it is "bacterial SSU rRNA". It matches the Rfam family "Bacterial small subunit ribosomal RNA", at positions 46 to 495 of the family's 1533-position model. The record is from RNAcentral. Lineage: Bacteria; Pseudomonadati; Pseudomonadota; Gammaproteobacteria.